Molecule: ribosomal RNA, 73 nt
Filed under: Isodictya conulosa
Lineage: Eukaryota; Metazoa; Porifera; Demospongiae; Poecilosclerida; Isodictyidae
Description: partial large subunit ribosomal RNA
Rfam family: Eukaryotic large subunit ribosomal RNA
Source: RNAcentral
GUGCGACCUCAGCUCGAGCGAGACGACCCGCUSAACUUAAGCAUAUCAGUAAGCGGAGGAAAAGAAACUGUCA